AAGUCCACAAACAUCCAAUGUAUGCCAUAAACAUGUCUCAUAACCAAGUUCAGAAGAACAUCAGUGAGGUGGUCGGUUGGACUGGUUUGAUGAUGUGUUGGGCGAACCAUGGGGGUUGUUUGAUGUCGUCGAUUGAUUCUGCACAGAGAAGAGAUUGCAUGUGUGAGAUUAGAUAAAUAUAUAUCAUACACGACUAAAAUUUUUAUAUUCACAGGAGUAUAAAACUGAGGAGGUUCAGCUGUAGGGAACAACGGAGGUGGUGGAGUAAUUAAAACUCGAUGCGGCGCCAAGGUUCUGCAUGUAUGAUACAUUUCCUCCAUCCUCUGUUGAUCGACCAAGCGAGUCAUCUGUUCGGCUAUCAUCCUCGCCUCCAACUCCACAUGUUGCAUCCUCUCUUCUUCUAGAUGAGUUUUUCUAUGCAAAGUGUUUCGCACUCGGCAAAGAGGUACGUUGCGGAGUAUCAUACUUCGCCGAGAGUAACACUCGACAAAUAAUUCUUUGUCGAGUGCCCGAGAUUUUACACUCGGCAAACAUCUGAGCACUCGGCAAAGAAUGUGUUUUCGGUAGUGUUUUGCUGCUUCAAUUUACACCUCACAUGCAUAUAUACUCCGUCCUCAUAUCAUAAACAUCGGUCCAUCUAGAUUUAUGCUAAGUCAUGAUUUCUUAAGUUUGAUAGGCAAUGUUUACACAAACAAAAGUUACCCCCUCUAAUCUUUUUUUACAUGUCACAUAAGAUUUGUCCUAAGCCAAAUAUUACUAUCUUUUAUUCUCCAUUUAAAAUUUUAUUUUAUUUUUAGAACCUACCAAUUAUAUAUUAUAAAAGUUUUUUUAUAAUAACUAUAAAACAUAAAUCUUAUGUCAUGUGCAUAUACUGAUACACACGUUUGACUUAAAACAAAUCUAAUAUUACAUAUAAAUAAAAACAGUAAAGGUACAUAUUAUGAAGUCCUCAUAAUAAAUCUAGUGAGGCCUCAUGUUUUCAAAAAAAAUGAUGGGAAAAUUUAACAACCUUUCACUUGGAAAAACCUUGUGAUUGAAGGAAGUACAGUUGCAUUUAUAUAUAAUAUAGGUCCAACUGGCCUGAAAAAGGCUAUUAUUGCACGAUUCAAGAUAAGGCAUUUAAAAAGCAUAGCUCGGCACUGUAAAUCAAAAGGAAAAGGAAAAACACUUGUAAUAUUAAACUGACAGACAACCACCACAUCACCAAAGAUCCAAUAGCAUCUACAAUUUAUUUUAAUGUAUUAUAAACAAAAGAAAAGAUAACAAGAGCCAAUGAGCAUGUAACUUGCAGGCAACUUUGUUGUCCUCCACACAGCACACAUGCCGAAUUCCAGCUCCUCAUUACUCCGUUGCGAUGUGACGUGUGCGUGCCGGCCGCUCAUCAUGCAAUGCAAUGCAACACCGAAUAAUAAACAGGCAGAAAUUACCGAGGCACGCGCGCGAGUUGGUGGUGCACUGCACACUCAGCUCAGGGCUCGAUCGCUCAGCUAUAUAAAGCCCUGCUGGUGCCAAAGCACACGCCAGAACGAUCGAGCUGGGACCGGUAGCUCGCCCACAAGCACUACUGCUCCGGCGGCGGCCAUCGCCUUGUCAUCAGGCUCCAGCUAGCUUGCAACAGAGGGGGCGAGCUAGGAGGAGGAGAUGAGUGCCCCAGCGGGCAGCGGCGGCGGCGGGGAGCGGGCGAUGAACAUCCGCGGCAUAUUCCGGUUCGCGGACCGGGUGGACGUCCUGCUGAUGGCCCUGGGCACGCUGGGCGCCAUUGGCGACGGCUGCUCCACCAACCUGCUGCUCAUCUUCGCCAGCGACGUGAUGAACGCGCUCGGGUACGGGGGUGCCCAGGCCGGCGGCGGCGCCAAGAGCGCGCAGUUCAUGCACGAGGUGGAGAAGGUUCGUCCUGCGCCGUGCAUUACCGCCUGAUGUACCGGCGACUAGCUAGUGUCGUCAACUCCGAACGAAGCGCGCUCAACUCAACAUCGUCUGCUGUGUGGGCAUUUUUCAGUAACUUUAUUGUUCACUUCUUUUCGUUUUGCCCUUUUUUUUCCCCGUGAUGCAGUCGUGCCUGAACUUCGUCUACCUGGGGCUCGUGGUGCUGGCGGUGGCGUUCAUGGGUACAGUACCUUCAGCUCACCACACCUAGCCUAGCCUAUCAAUUUAUGCACAUCAUCAGAACCUGCUGCUUGCAUCAAUGAAAGAACUUUCCCCCCUGUUUUUUAACAAAAUGUUUUAAUACAAUGACAAUUUUGCUUCAAAAAGAGGCAUCGUCUCUCUGAGCUAGCAAUUCUCUUUCUGUAACUUAAUAUAUGUUAUGUUACCCUACUCGGUUGCCUGCUUGUUGUCCAUGCAUGCAUGUGUGUAUGAUGAGAAGCCAAAAGAAGACAUGCAUCUUUCUAGAGCGCGCUACAGAUCGAUCUGUUUAAAACUAAAUAGCUGACGCUGUAGAAUUAUUAAACGUCGUAAAUUGUUUGAGCCAAACACUAAAAUGGACGACAGUUGUCGUACAUCUCACGCAUCGAUCUGCUUGCUUUGCUUGGAAAUGAAAAAAAUGCAGAAGGGUACUGCUGGAGCCGGACGAGCGAGCGGCAGGUGCUGCGGAUCCGGUACCUGUACCUGCAGGCCAUCCUGCGGCAGGAAGCGGGCUUCUUCGACUCGCAGGAGGCCACCACGUCGGAGAUCAUAAACAGCAUCUCCAAGGACGCCUCCCACAUCCAGGAGGUCCUCAGCGAGAAGGUAGGUACACAACCAAACAAACCCCUCCAUCCUCCCAUUCAUCAACAAAAGACCCCCAAUCUUCAGUCAGAACAACCCCAAAAACAAAACAAAACAAAACAAAAUGACGAGACACCCUUCAGAGGCUUCAGUCAUGUGAAUGUGAAUGUGACUAGCCAAACCAUCCGGUCCAUCUGCAGAUGACUUGACCCAGCCUCCAGCAACAAUUUCGUUUUUUAGACGGAGCAGUAGAGUACCUGUUAUAGACCGUCAGCGAAUUUCCUCUUUUUUUUUGGAACUAACCUGCGUGGGCACGACCGCACGAGGCUAGAAGCCAGCGACCUACAGCAGUAGAGCAUCGCUGAAUCAGGUGGCAAAUCAAAGGAUUUGACCUGGCAGUCUAGGCUGCCGUCUUAUUUUAUCCGUCAAACAUUUUCUUUUUUUACAGAGAAAAUGUCUCUCUGUGCUGUCAUCCUUCAGACUUCAGAGGAUUGCAAGUGUGUGUGUGUGCCAUCUUAUUACCCUGAUGGCUCGUCAUACGAUCAAACCAGUCUUCCACGUAUCGUUCUCCAUUUCCCACUGGGGCCGGACUUUAUUUGAACAAUCCCGUACUCACUUUAAUCAAUGUGUAUUGAGGUAGAUUAGAGUAUAACUUAAACUAAUUUAUACCCUAGUCUAUUUCAAUACGUAUAGAUUGAGGUAAAUACCAAACAAUGUCUGGGAGGGAUUUAAAAACACCCAACCUGAAAAUAACAUAAAUCCGCAAAAACAAUGACAAACUACUUGAGGGCUUAUUCAUUUCACCGUUAAUCCACGUGGAUUGGAUGUAUUGAGUCGGUUUAAAUUCGUAGCAAGUUAAAAUUUAUUCCAAUCCAUUUCAAUAUAUUCUAAUCCACGUGGAAUUGAAAUAACCGAACAAGAAUGAUCUAUCUAGAUGUACACCCACACUCUUUCCUGGCUUGAAAAAUUAAACAGACUACAAUAACUCAAUAAGAUUACCCAGCAUCCAGAAAAACGAAUGUGUAAAAACAAAAGAGCGAGACAGAGCUGAGGCUUGGGUCGUUUGGAUUCGCAUGUAUCUACCUCAAUCCCUAUGUGUUAGUGGUUUGGUGUAUAUUUUAAACUAAAUUCUACACACCAAACCACUUCAUCCUGCUUAGAUUAAGUUGAAUACUAUAUGCAGCCAAACAAGACCUGAAUGUAAUCCAGUGUUGGAUCAUCGUUCGAGGAGAAAUAACAGCAUGAUUGAUUGGCAUGAAAUCUGGAACAGGUCCCUCUGUUCCUGAUGCACUCUACGGUCUUCGUCUCCGGCCUGGCCUUCGCCACCUACUUCUGCUGGAGGCUGGCCCUGGUUUCGUUCCCUCUCGUCCUGCUGCUCAUAAUCCCGGGACUCAUCUACGGCAAGUACCUCCUCUACCUGUCCCGCCGGUCGCGCCACGAGUACGCCAAGGCGAACUCCCUGGUCGACCAGGCUCUGGGCUCCAUCAAGACCGUCUACUCCUUCACGGCCGAGAAGAGGAUCAUCCAGAGGUACACGGCGAUCCUCGACAAGACGAUCAAGCUGGGGAUCAAGCAGGGCAUCGCCAAGGGUCUCGCUGUGGGGUUCACCGGCCUUUCUUUCGCCAUUUGGGCCUUCCUUGCGUGGUAUGGUGGGAGGCUGGUGGUGUUCCAUCAUGUGACCGGUGGAAGGAUAUAUGCUGCUGGGAUUUCCUUCGUCUUGGGUGGCCUGUAUGUUUCUUGCACUCUUCACGCUUUAUCUGACUUCAUGGCACCAUUUGGUCAUGUAGAUGUAGAAGCCUGCCUAACUAGACAAACUUACUGAAUGUUGCAGAUCCCUUGGAAUGGCACUGCCUGAGCUGAAACAUUUCGCUGAGGCGUCUGUUGCUGCCACAAGAAUCCUUGAUCGGAUAAACCGUGUCCCCCAGAUUGAUGCUGAGGACCCAAAAGGCCUUGUGCUGGACCAAAUCCGGGGAGAGCUCGAAUUUGAGUCUGUCCGUUUCGAGUACCCAUCAAGACCAAACAUGCCCGUCCUCAAAAACUUCAGCCUCCAGAUUCCCGCUGGGCAGACUAUUGCUUUGGUUGGGUCCAGUGGCAGCGGCAAGUCAACAGCGAUAGCUUUAGUGCAGCGCUUCUACGAUGCCAGCGAAGGGACUGUAAAAGUUGAUGGUUUUGACAUCAAAGAACUCCAGCUCAAAUGGAUCAGGAGCAAGAUGGGGCUAGUCAGCCAAGACCAUGCGUUGUUUGGCACUUCAAUAAAAGAGAACAUCUUGUUUGGCAAACCAGAUGCAACCAUGGACGAGGUCUAUGCGGCAGCUAUGACAGCAAACGCUCACAACUUCAUAAGGGGGCUUCCAGAGGAAUAUGAGACAAAGGUACGCGCAUCAAAAAAAAGGAAAAAGAACGUCCAUCCACCUUAAUUCCAUGUCUCAUACUUUAUGGUUCCUUCUUGCAGAUUGGUGAGCGUGGAGCACUGUUAUCAGGUGGCCAGAAGCAGCGUAUUGCCAUUGCGAGGGCGGUAAUUAAGAACACUGCUAUACUCUUGCUCGAUGAAGCCACAAGUGCACUUGAUUCAGAAUCAGAGAAGUUGGUACAGCAUGCACUUGAUCAAGCAUCUAUGGGACGAACAACACUGGUAAAUUGCCACUGCUUCCGCUCUUCAUACUUUAUGACCCUUAUAUCAGAACUUGUUGAAUUAAUUAUCACUGCAUCUUUUUUCAAGAAAAAAACAUUUGGCAUUGAAUCUCUGAUUAUUCAUUAACAAUGGACAGGUAGUAGCUCAUAAGCUCUCAACCGUGAAGAACGCUGAUCAGAUCGCGGUAGUUGAUGGGGGUACAAUAGCUGAAAUUGGUACACAUGAUGAACUGAUCAGCAAGGGUGGCCCAUACUCGAGACUUGUGAAAUUGCAGAAGAUGGUAAGCUACAUCGAUCAAGAAAAUGAUCAGUUUAGGGCUUCCUCAGUGGCCAGGACCAGUACCAGCCGACACAGCAUGUCCAGAGCAAGUCCAAUGCCACUAACACCAGCUGCCUUAAAGGAAAAUGAUUCUGAUGUUCAUCCACCUGCACCAUCUUUCUCCAGGCUUCUUGCAAUGAACGCACCUGAGUGGAGGCAGGCAGUCGUAGGCAGUUUAUCCGCAUUGGUAUAUGGUUCCUUGCAGCCUAUCUAUGCCAUAACCAUCGGAGGAAUGAUUGCUGCAUUCUUUGUUCAGGACCAAAAUGAGAUGAAUGCAAUUAUCAGACGCUAUGCCUUGAUCUUCUGCUCACUGUCCUUGGUAUCCAUUGUUGUUAAUCUAUUGCAGCACUACAAUUUUGCAUACAUGGGGGAGCAUCUUGUUAGGCGCAUCCGGGUCCAAGUACUUGAGAAGAUAUUAACUUUUGAGGCAGCAUGGUUUGAUGAAGAAACUAACUCAAGCGGUGCAUUGUGCUCUCGGCUAAGCAAUGAGGCUUCUCUUGUCAAAACCCUUGUUGCAGACAGAAUAUCCUUACUGCUUCAAACAGCUUCUGGAAUUAUAAUUGCAGUGACAAUGGGCCUGAUGGUAGCUUGGAAACUUGCUCUUGUCAUGAUAGCUGUACAGCCAUCUACAAUGAUGUGUUAUUAUGCAAAAAAAAUGGUUCUCUCAAAUGUGUCAAGGGACUUGGCAAAGGCUCAGCAUCAAAGCACCCAGAUUGCCAUAGAAGCUGUUUACAACCACAGGAUGGUAACCUCCUUUGGAUGUUCAUCAAAGGUUCUUCAGCUAUUCGAGCAUGCGCAAGAGGAACCCUUGAAAAAAGCAAGGAAGAAAUCAUGGGUAGCAGGGAUCACCACAGGGUUGUCACCUUGCCUCUCGUUCUUGUCAUGGGCACUGGACUUCUGGUAUGGUGGGAAGCUAGCACAGUCUGGGGAGAUAUCGGCGGGUGAUGUUUUCAAAACCUUCUUCGUGCUGGUGAGCACAGGAAAGCUUAUUGCUGAUGCUGGUAGCAUGACUUCUGACCUGGCAAAGGGAUCAAAUGCAGUUGCUUCAGUAUUUGAGGUGCUAGAUAGGAAAUCCAUCUCUCCAAAAAAUUCACAGGUAACAAACUCAUUCAUAAGAAUCAUAUAGAUACAUAUCGGCACAGCAGUUUUGCGAGUAUAGAAUCAUUUUACAACACUGUCUUGCUAUGAGUGAGAAUAAUAUACAUCUAUUUUGCAGGUAGAGAAGGAGGAUCAGAAGAAGAAAAUAGAAGGUAGGAUAGAAUUCAAGAAGGUAGAUUUUGCAUAUCCAACAAGACCAGAGUGCCUUAUCCUACAGGAUUUUAGCUUGGACGUGAAAGCAGGAACAAGUGUUGGCCUGGUUGGCAGAAGCGGUUGUGGUAAAUCAACUAUCAUAGGUUUGAUCCAGAGGUUCUAUGAUGUUGAUAGGGGGGCUGUAAGAAUUGAUGGUAUGGAUGUGAGGGAGAUGAAUAUUCUCUGGUUUCGAGGAUUUACAGCUCUUGUUAGUCAGGAGCCUGCAAUGUUUUCAGGCAGUGUCAGGGACAACAUUGCUUUUGGUAAACCAGAAGCUGAUGAAGAUGAGAUUGUGGAAGCUGCGAAAGCUGCAAACGCACAUGAGUUCAUCUCGUAAGUCUUUUUACUUGUUUGUAUUCCAAAAUUAUAUAGAAAUUGCAAGCAUGUCUUUUGUUUCAACUCGCAUUGUCCAACACAAGGAACUAAGUUGAUUAUUUUUCAGAACUUUGAAGGAUGGAUACGAUACUGAUUGUGGAGAGCAUGGUAUACAGCUCUCAGGGGGGCAGAAGCAAAGAAUCGCAAUUGCAAGGGCAAUAAUCCGGAAUCCCACAAUACUACUACUUGAUGAAGCAACAAGUGCGCUUGAUGCACAGUCAGAGCAAGUGGUGCAGGAAGCUCUUGAUCGAAUAAUGUCAGGGAGGACCACAAUUGUGGUGGCACAUCGGCUAAACACAAUCAAGAAUGUAGACUCGAUUGCUUUUCUGGGAGAGGGUAAAGUGGUGGAGCGUGGCUCUUACCCGCAGCUCAUGAACAAGAAGGGGGCAUUCUAUAACCUUGCAACUCUUCAGAAGUAACUGGUUGUAUGACAUGUAAACUAUUAUACCUAAUGAAACUCCGGCAGUAAUUGAUAUGAUAGCUAGGUUACUAUAGCACAGAAGCAGCACUCCUAAGCUAGUUUUCAAGCAACUCUUUCAAUAAUCAGUUAAUAUAUAUCUGACACAAUCCUCGUCCUUCAAGUUUCUGGUGGGCUAACACAGGCAAAAAAUAUAUAUAUAAAAAGAAAUGACAAUAUGGCCUAGCUAAAAGAAGCAUGAUAAGUAAAAACAAGCAUUAUGAUGCAUGAAUCAUCAUGUCUUGUCCUCUGAUAACAUAUGUGAGCUUCAACAGAAUGAAAAAGAAUGUUCAUGAAAGGACUUACCCUGAAGUGACCAUAGCCUGGAAAAAUCAUGAACAUGAUCAAGGAGAUACUGGAAAAAUGUGACCUGCCAUGAUCAUGCUGUUAUUCGUGAGUAAAUACUCAGUAAAGAGCAUGGACAUGAUCAAGGAGAUGAUGUUUGGCUGUUACCUGCCAUAAGGCAUAUUUGUCUAUCUGACGGAUAUCAUAAAAAGAAAAAAAAUGCUCAAUUGUAUAACCCAUAUGAAUUGACCUAACUAUUUCCUCAACGCUAGACUAUCUCCAUUCCUAUACAAAAGAGUGAUCCACUAUACGAACCUGAGAGUGACUACGCAUAAGACUAUUAGCUGUCUCUGUUAAUUUAUCGCCACUAUGCCCUCCCUUCCUACAAGGAACGUUACGAUAGGACAUGGGAGUUAUUCUAAAUUCUCCGUGGCAUGGGACCAAACUGCCUUCUCAAGUCUCAACAGCAUCUACACCGAGACCAUGAAAAGCAUUCUCCCAUAGUAUUUGAAAAUAAAGGAAUUCACCCUUCCCCCUAAGGCCAUGUUCGUUUGAUCCCAAAACCAUAGGGAUUGAGGUGGAUUGAAAGGGAUUGAAGAGGAUUUUGACUUGUAGGGGAUUUGAUCCCCUCAAUCCCUAUGGAUCAGCACAAAACGAACAGAGCCUAACAGUUGUCCUCCACAUACUUUGGCUAUCCAGUGGUCAGAGACACGCGUUACCAGCCCUAGUAAUGCCAGGGACAAUGCCUACCUGCCGUUGCCAGCCCGUUGCCCUUUUUAGUUCUGAAUUUUCUUUUUACAUGAAACAUGCCUGAAUCUGAAUCCCAUCUGCUAGAAGAAGAAAAUCGCAGAACCCACUGACAUGCACAUGCAUAUAAUCUUCUGCUCAUCCAUCAGUAGCAACCCGCAAGGGAACGGGAUGGAUGCCAGGGUUUCGGCCGGGUCAACGAUCGCAGAUUCGCAGUUCCCCGCAAAGCUCACGGGCGCCAGGCCUGCGAAUGCGAACACCGAUACGGAGGGGAAAGCGGCGCAGGAAGAGGGAUCGGAGGACUACUUACGAAUUCCGAUUCGCGCGCGAAGUCGACAAGGAGAACCUUGGAGAAUCGAGGCCUCCUCCGUUCUCCCAUGAGCCGUUUGUCUAGCAUAUCUCUUAUCUCCUCCCAGAUGAAAUUUCAAACUUAUCCCUAUAAACUUUCAUCUACAGUUUCAUAUCUCUUAUUUUUCACGUUCCACCGGGAUGGAGGGAAGGAAGUAGAAUAUCUCCAUCAGCUCAAACAAUCUUACGGGUGGAGGGAAGGAAGUAAGCUAUCUCCAUCAGCUCUCAUAUCGCAUUCGCAUUCUCUAUCUAAA
This 9412-nucleotide long non-coding RNA is filed under the name Zea mays. RNAcentral's name for it is "long non-coding RNA (ZMAY_LNC002012)". The record is from RNAcentral. Lineage: Eukaryota; Viridiplantae; Streptophyta; Magnoliopsida; Poales; Poaceae.